This 214-nucleotide long non-coding RNA is filed under the name Lathyrus oleraceus (garden pea). RNAcentral's name for it is "Pisum sativum (pea) long non-coding RNA (PSAT_LNC001189)". The record is from RNAcentral. Lineage: Eukaryota; Viridiplantae; Streptophyta; Magnoliopsida; Fabales; Fabaceae.
AACACCCUUGGUACGGUUUUCAUAAGGUUACUCUGUAGUAUAUAUCACCUAGUGUAAGAAACCAAUUAUAGUAUUUAUUUAUUAUACUAUUAUUAUUAUAUUUUAUUUUAAUUAUGUGGAGUGUUAAUUAAUUAAUUGGUGGUUAGGUAGUAUAAUAAUUGAUUAUAUUAAUUAAUUUGGUGUGUUAAUUAAUUAUUUAGUUGAUAUGAGAUAU